AAACAUGGCUUUUCGGCUUCAUCUUAUGAAAAGUCGGACCUGCCCAAUGAGACAUUAAAUGGCCGCAGUAUCCUGACUGUGCAAAGGUAGCAUAAUAAUUUGCCUUAUAAUUAAAGGCUGGAAUGAAUGGUUUGACGAAAUUUACACUGUCUCUUUUUAAAUUUAUAUAAUUUAGACUUUAGGUUAAAAUACCUAAAUUUCACUAAAAGACAAGAAGACCCUAUUGAGCUUUAAUACCUAAUAGAGAUUAUUAUAGUUUUAAAAAUAAAUAGUUCUUUAUUUUUAUUUUGAUUGGGGCGAUCGAGGAUUAAGAAAAUCAUCCUCACACUAUUUUAACUUUUAAGUGCUGAUCCAAAUAUUUUUGAUUAUAAGAUUAAGUUACCAUAGGGAUAACAGCAUAAUUUCUUUUAAGAGUCCACAUUGAAAAAGAAGAUUAUGACCUCGAUGUUGGAUUAGAAUACCCAAAAGAUGCAGCCGUCUUUAAGGUUAGUCUGUUCGACUAUUAAAAUUCUACAUGAUCUGA
RNAcentral lists this ribosomal RNA (523 nucleotides) under Tubbreva exigua. RNAcentral describes it as "partial 16S ribosomal RNA". It matches the Rfam family "Bacterial large subunit ribosomal RNA", at positions 1811 to 2608 of the family's 2925-position model. Lineage: Eukaryota; Metazoa; Mollusca; Gastropoda; Littorinimorpha; Cingulopsidae. The record is from RNAcentral.